Molecule: ribosomal RNA, 497 nt
Filed under: uncultured bacterium
Lineage: Bacteria
Description: partial 16S ribosomal RNA
Rfam family: Bacterial small subunit ribosomal RNA
Source: RNAcentral
GACGAACGCUGGCGGCGUGCCUAAUACAUGCAAGUAGAACGCUGAAGAGAGGAGCUUGCUCUUCUUGGAUGAGUUGCGAACGGGUGAGUAACGCGUAGGUAACCUGCCUUGUAGCGGGGGAUAACUAUUGGAAACGAUAGCUAAUACCGCAUAACAAUGGAUGACCCAUGUCAUUUAUUUGAAAGGGGCAACUGCUCCACUACAAGAUGGACCUGCGUUGUAUUAGCUAGUAGGUGAGGUAACGGCUCACCUAGGCGACGAUACAUAGCCGACCUGAGAGGGUGAUCGGCCACACUGGGACUGAGACACGGCCCAGACUCCUACGGGAGGCAGCAGUAGGGAAUCUUCGGCAAUGGGGGCAACCCUGACCGAGCAACGCCGCGUGAGUGAAGAAGGUUUUCGGAUCGUAAAGCUCGGUUGUAAGUCAAGAACGAGUGUGAGAGUGGAAAGUUCACACUGUGACGGUAGCUUACCAGAAAGGGACGGCUAACUACGUG